AUGACAUGGAGUUCUGCUAUAGCUAAGUGGAUCUUGCUGCAACUGUUUGAUGAGUUUUCAGAAACUUUUCCUUGUCACAAACUGUUCAACGGGCAGCUCAUUCUUCGUUCAGUGAAGGAAAUUUUGGCACAAGCUAUCAGUGCUAGGCGUGGGCAAAGGUUGUGGGAUCCUGGUGUUUCAGCAGUAAUAACUAACGACUGUCGGGUAGUAAAUCUCAAUCUUGCAAUAGGUGAAGCCAAUAGGAGUUUACGGAGCUCAACCACAAUAUAUUGCCUAUGCUCGACAUGUCAGAUGUCCAGUGGCUUUUAUGCUGACAACUUCUGGGAUCCGACUGACAUGUUCUUUAGGAAGCAAAUCAUGGUAUGCACCACGAGGAAUUCUUUUAUGUUGAACUCUUUGUCAACGGCACCACAAAAGGACCAUUGUCCAACAAUGCUUCUUAUUACCGGAAUACAACAUCGAUUGACCCCAGGUUAUGUGCGCUGGACAUGGGACCCUGGCGGCUUUUACCAUUGCCCGGCUUGGGGGCAAGCCGGAUUUCAAGAGGGCGAGAGUGUCAUGCCCGACCUAUGCGCUGGUAAGCACAGCUGGGUGGUGGGCCAUCUCUUGGAGGUUGGUCCCACAUGGAAGUCACAUGGAGGCAAGGCUACAUAUACAGCAGGGGGAGCACAGGAGGAGGCAGCGAAGGAAUGA
This 693-nucleotide ribosomal RNA is filed under the name Triticum aestivum (bread wheat). Its description in RNAcentral is "partial small subunit ribosomal RNA". Lineage: Eukaryota; Viridiplantae; Streptophyta; Magnoliopsida; Poales; Poaceae. The record is from RNAcentral.